Molecule: ribosomal RNA, 487 nt
Filed under: uncultured bacterium
Lineage: Bacteria
Description: bacterial SSU rRNA
Rfam family: Bacterial small subunit ribosomal RNA
Source: RNAcentral
GAUGAACGCUAGCGACAGGCCUAACACAUGCAAGUCGAGGGGCAGCACAUGAGUAGCAAUACGAUGGUGGCGACCGGCGCACGGGUGAGUAACACGUAUGCAACCUACCUGUAAGAGGGGAAUAACCCGGAGAAAUUCGGACUAACACCGCAUAAUACUGCGAAGCUGCAUGGCUUUGCAGUUAAAUAUUUAUAGCUUACAGAUGGGCAUGCGUAACAUUAGAUAGUUGGUGAGGUAACGGCUCACCAAGUCAACGAUGUUUAGGGGUUCUGAGAGGAAGGUCCCCCACACUGGUACUGAGACACGGACCAGACUCCUACGGGAGGCAGCAGUGAGGAAUAUUGGUCAAUGGGCGAGAGCCUGAACCAGCCAAGUCGCGUGAAGGAAGAAGGUUCUAUGGAUUGUAAACUUCUUUUGUAAGGGAAUAAAAAGAGUUACGUGUAACUUAUUGUAUGUACUUUACGAAUAAGGAUCGGCUAACUCCGUG